This 71-nucleotide ribosomal RNA is filed under the name Phlebotomus papatasi. Its description in RNAcentral is "partial 28S ribosomal RNA". The record is from RNAcentral. Lineage: Eukaryota; Metazoa; Arthropoda; Insecta; Diptera; Psychodidae.
GGCCCCAACUCUUCCAAAACUACCCCCGAUUUUUGGCCCGUUAAUAACCGGAGGAAAAAAAAUUCACCAGG